Molecule: ribosomal RNA, 488 nt
Filed under: uncultured Paenibacillus sp.
Lineage: Bacteria; Bacillati; Bacillota; Bacilli; Caryophanales; Paenibacillaceae
Description: bacterial SSU rRNA
Rfam family: Bacterial small subunit ribosomal RNA
Source: RNAcentral
CGACGCUGGCGGCGUGCCUAAUACAUGCAAGUCGAGCGGGUUUGUCCUUCGGGACAAGCUAGCGGCGGACGGGUGAGUAACACGUAGGUAACCUGCCUUUAAGACUGGGAUAACUAUCGGAAACGAUAGCUAAGACCGGAUAACUGGGUUUUCUCGCAUGAGAGAAUCAUAAAACACGGAGCAAUCUGUGGCUUGAAGAUGGGCCUGCGGCGCAUUAGCUAGUUGGUGAGGUAACGGCUCACCAAGGCGACGAUGCGUAGCCGACCUGAGAGGGUGAACGGCCACACUGGGACUGAGACACGGCCCAGACUCCUACGGGAGGCAGCAGUAGGGAAUCUUCCGCAAUGGACGCAAGUCUGACGGAGCAACGCCGCGUGAGUGAUGAAGGUUUUCGGAUCGUAAAGCUCUGUUGCCCUAGACGAACAGCAUCAGGAGUAACUGCCUGAUGUGUGACGGUAUAGGAGAAGAAAGCCCCGGCUAACUACGUG